Molecule: ribosomal RNA, 250 nt
Filed under: uncultured bacterium
Lineage: Bacteria
Description: partial 16S ribosomal RNA
Rfam family: Bacterial small subunit ribosomal RNA
Source: RNAcentral
AGAGUUUGAUCAUGGCUUAGGAUGAACGCUAGCGGCAGGCCUAACACAUGCAAGUCGAGGGGCGAGCACGGUGUAGCAAUACACUGGUGGCGACCGGCGCACGGGUGCGUAACGCGUAUGCAACCUACCCAUAACAGGGGGAUAACACGUGAGAAAUUGGUACUAAUACCCCAUAACAUCAGGACCGGCAUCGGUUCUGGUUGAAAACUCCGGUGGUUAUGGAUGGGCAUGCGUUGUAUUAGCUGGUUGG